Molecule: transfer RNA, 76 nt
Filed under: Mycobacterium avium
Lineage: Bacteria; Bacillati; Actinomycetota; Actinomycetes; Mycobacteriales; Mycobacteriaceae
Also listed under: 3 other names
Description: tRNA-Arg
Rfam family: tRNA
About the family: Transfer RNA (tRNA) molecules are approximately 80 nucleotides in length.
Source: RNAcentral
GCCCCUGUAGCGCAACGGAUAGCGCGCCGGUGUCCGGAGCCGGAGGCUGUAGGUUCAAAUCCUGCCAGGGGCGCCA